UACAGAGGGUGCGAACGUUGCUCGGAAUUACUGGGCGUAAAGCGCGUGUAGGCGGGUUCGUAAGCCAGAUGUGAAAUCCCCAGGCUCAACCUGGGAACUGCAUCUGGAACUGCGAGUCUUGAGUGCCGGAGAGGGUGGCAGAAUUCCUGGUGUAGAGGUGAAAUUCGUAGAUAUCAGGAGGAACACCGGUGGCGAAGGCGGCCACCUGGACGGCAACUGACGCUGAGACGCGAAAGCGUGGGGAGCAAACAGG
RNAcentral lists this ribosomal RNA (253 nucleotides) under uncultured bacterium. Its description in RNAcentral is "partial 16S ribosomal RNA". It matches the Rfam family "Bacterial small subunit ribosomal RNA", at positions 524 to 776 of the family's 1533-position model. The record is from RNAcentral.